Molecule: long non-coding RNA, 937 nt
Organism: Myodes glareolus (Bank vole)
Lineage: Eukaryota; Metazoa; Chordata; Mammalia; Rodentia; Cricetidae
Source: RefSeq, a predicted model, not a curated record
UUUCUUACGAGACGGCCAGCUUGGGAUUAUAUUUGUGUGUUUAUUUAUAAUGGCUUGGACUCAAGUCUGAAAUGUUUUCCGGGGGCGGAGAGGUGGGAGAGUCUCUUUAAGGCUUUGAAGAGUCCAGUGAGGAUGUGAGUGGGGCGGAGCUUCGGGUGGGGCCGCCUCUCUUCCUGAAAUGGUGCCGAACUCAAAUGAACAGAACUUCAGCACCCGACGUUCAGCACCUCGGUAACUGUGGCAACUGUCUACACCUGAGGAAAUCAAACAGGGGACUUUGGAGCUUAGCUGAGGCCCAGAGCGGAGCCUGUGCCUUCCACUGCCAGCAUUCUGAAUUUCCCAACUGGUACUUCAUCUCAGGGCCUGGGAUGGAGCAGCCCAGGUGCUCAACUCUGCUAGGAAAUCCAGUCUUAAGGCUCAAAGAGGCGGGACCACGCCCUUCCUGCCUGUGGGAUCCCAGCACUCAGUAGUUGUGCUGGACCUUCGAAGGGACUCAGUCUGUCAGAGGCAAAGAAGCCCUUGUCAUCCUGAUAUCUAGAACCUUCCAAGGACGGGUGGGGGUUUGGGAAGAAUGACUUGCAGACUUCCAGCUCAAGGAAGAUGGUGUUGGGCAACACAACUCAGCUCCACGUAGUCACCAAGUUUACGGUUAGUGGCCAAGGGAUGAUGAUAAAACCACAUCAAGUCAUAGCACGUAGUGGAGGGUGCGAGUGGGGGCUGUCAGGGGAGGAGUAGGGACCUCCCAGAUGAAGCGACAUUAAAAUCUUAGCUUCACUGUUACUUUGGAUCCUAUGCUCUAAGCUACUGAUAGGGCAAUGCCACUACUGUCCAGGCCACUUGCUGGCCUCACUCAGUCAGGGGUCAGCAAUAGCCCCAUGCUUCAAAAACAGCUCUCCUUCCCUGUCCACACGUCCUGGGAUGAUUAAAGAGUUGACUG